AAAAACAAAAAUAUCAACCCAACUAACUCUCAAGCUUUCAUUUAUUCAACAAUAACAAAAACAAGACAACAAUACUAAAACAAACAAAAACAAGUAAAGCUUAAGAUAGAUGAGACAACUAAUCCAUCUCUCCCCUCCCCCCAAACUUAUUUCACACAAAGUGAAAAUGAGUUUGGAAGAAAAGAGAAGGAGAAGUUGUCUCGGACUCACAAAAAAAACUAACAUAUAAAAAAAAAUAAACCAUACAAAAAUUAAAGGGUACCUUGUUGGGGUGCCUCCCAACUAGCGCUUAGUUUAACGUCAUGAGCUAGACGUCUCCAUGAUGGUGUUAUGGCUCGGGGGUGGUUCCAACGAACACUUCAACUUUUGGUUUCAAGGGCAAAAAUGCCUUGAUUCUUUCCUUCUCAACCACAAAGGUUCUUUC
This 424-nucleotide long non-coding RNA is filed under the name Salvia miltiorrhiza (redroot sage). RNAcentral describes it as "long non-coding RNA (SMIL_LNC008529)". The record is from RNAcentral. Lineage: Eukaryota; Viridiplantae; Streptophyta; Magnoliopsida; Lamiales; Lamiaceae.